Molecule: ribosomal RNA, 395 nt
Filed under: uncultured bacterium
Lineage: Bacteria
Description: bacterial SSU rRNA
Rfam family: Bacterial small subunit ribosomal RNA
Source: RNAcentral
ACUCCUACGGGAGGCAGCAGUGGGGAAUAUUGCACAAUGGGGGAAACCCUGAUGCAGCCAUGCCGCGUGUGUGAAGAAGGCCUUCGGGUUGUAAAGCACUUUCAGUAGGGAGGAAGGUAGUGUAGUUAACACCUGCACUAUUUGUACGUUACCUACAGAAGAAGCACCGGCUAACUCCGUGCCAGCAGCCGCGGUAAGUACGGAGGGUGCGAGCGUUAAUCGGAAUUACUGGGCGUAAAGCGCAUGCAGGCGGCCUGUUAAGUCAGAUGUGAAACGCCCGGGGUCUUAACCGUCGGAAUUGCAUUUGAAACUGGCAGGCUAGAGUCUUGUAGAGGGGUAGUAAUUUCAGGUGUAGCGGUGAAAUGCGUAGAGAUCGUGAAGGAACUACCGAGUGG